AUACGGAGGACGCGAGCGUUAUCCGGAUUCAUUGGGUUUAAAGGGUGCGCAGGCGGCCGUGCAAGUCAGCGGUGAAAGCCCGGGGCUCAACCCCGGAAGUGCCGUUGAUACUGCAUGGCUGGAAUGCGGUCGAGGCGGGCGGAACGGGGCGUGGAGGGGUGGAAUGCGUAGAUAUGCCACAGAACGCCGAUAGCGGAGGCAGCUCGCCAGGCCUGCAUUGACGCUCGGGCACGAAAGCGUGGGGAUCGAACAGGAUUAGAUACCCUGGUAGUCCACGCCGUAAACGAUGGGCGCUCGUCGUCGGCGGCAGACAGUCGGCGGCCAAGCGAAAGCGAUAAGCGCCCCACCUGGGGAGUACGGUCGCAAGGCUGAAACUCAAAUGAAUUGACGGGG
Molecule: ribosomal RNA, 393 nt
Filed under: uncultured bacterium
Lineage: Bacteria
Description: partial 16S ribosomal RNA
Rfam family: Bacterial small subunit ribosomal RNA
Source: RNAcentral